GGUCUGUAAGGGUAUCACUCUUGGGUGUGAUUGUCUUCAAAUAUGCCUUCUGGUAGUCCUUAGAAAGCUCAGCAUACUCGGCUGAUCCUUUCUCAGGCAUGAAUCUCCUGCUCUUAGUUGGUCGGUUAAGGAUGUAUCCUCCAUAUGGGUAUUGUCCAAAAUUAACAGCUGCAUGAAGUGCUGAAGCAAUCCAUAUAAGGAUGGUGGAAGCUUCGAUCAACUCCGCACGAGUUUGCAUCUUAAACCACCAUGUGGCACUCUUUAAGUCACCAUGACCCACCUCUACAAGUUCCUUCCAGAAUGCUUGGAGUUCAGCAUCUUGUGCAAUGGCAGCAUCUGAUUUGUAGU
RNAcentral lists this long non-coding RNA (348 nucleotides) under Medicago truncatula (barrel medic). RNAcentral describes it as "long non-coding RNA (MTRU_LNC005924)". Lineage: Eukaryota; Viridiplantae; Streptophyta; Magnoliopsida; Fabales; Fabaceae. The record is from RNAcentral.